Molecule: long non-coding RNA, 609 nt
Filed under: Mustela putorius furo (domestic ferret)
Lineage: Eukaryota; Metazoa; Chordata; Mammalia; Carnivora; Mustelidae
Description: lncRNA (ENSMPUG00000025004.1)
Source: RNAcentral
AAAAGAAUAACACUGGCCACCAGAAAAGACUGUUAAGAAGACUAAAGGAGGUGUUGCAAUUCACUUAGUACACACAGAAGGUUACACAUAGUAACCUUCUGACUAAUGAUAUCUACUUUCCUCUUCUGAUAAAAGGGGGACACACGAGAAAACAGGAACUCACUAGGUGGCUAAAAGGAGGAAAUGCAGAGCGAGACCUUCCUGGGGAGAAAAGAACAGCAAAAGGAUGAUAAAGACAACCUUUAUCAACGUCAGCCAAUUUUGCUAAAGCUACAGCUCUGUGAUCGUGCACCACUUCUAUGGGACUCAAUUUCUGUAUCUAAGAGACUGAGGAUAGGAACAGCCACCUUAUGGAGGUUCUGUGAAGAUACACUGAUGUCGUUCCACAAGUAUGAAAGCAUACAAGAUUUUUUGAGGAAGGGUUACAUCGUUACCACACGUGACAUGCCCGGCACACUGCUAAUGCCGUUUAAGUCGAAUAACACAAUCCUGUUUUUAUUAUUGUCAUCGAGCAUCUUUUGCUGUUUCGCUCUACCAUUACUGAGUAUUUGUGACAUGGAGACCACUUAAUAACACGCUGGAGUCCGAGAUUCUGGAGGUCAGUGUUUG